RNAcentral lists this ribosomal RNA (1129 nucleotides) under Lactiplantibacillus plantarum. RNAcentral describes it as "bacterial SSU rRNA". It matches the Rfam family "Bacterial small subunit ribosomal RNA", at positions 195 to 1336 of the family's 1533-position model. The record is from RNAcentral. Lineage: Bacteria; Bacillati; Bacillota; Bacilli; Lactobacillales; Lactobacillaceae.
CGAGUUUGAAAGAUGGCUUCGGCUAUCACUUUUGGAUGGUCCCGCGCGUAUUAGCUAGAUGGUGGGUAACGGCUCACAUGGCAAUGAUACGUAGCCGACCUGAGAGGGUAAUCGGCCACAUUGGGACUGAGACACGGCCCAAACUCCUACGGGAGGCAGCAGUAGGGAAUCUUCACAAUGGACGAAGUCUGAUGGAGCAACGCCGCGUGAGUGAAGAAGGGUUUCGGCUCGUAAAACUCUGUGUUAAAGAAGAACAUAUCUGAGAGUAACUGUUCAGGUAUUGACGGUAUUAACCAGAAAGCCACGGCUAACUACGUGCAGCAGCCGCGGUAAUACGUAGGUGGCAAGCGUUGUCCGAUUUAUUGGGCGUAAAGCGAGCGCAGGCGGUUUUUAAGUCUGAUGUGAAGCCUUCGGCUCAACCGAAGAAGUGCAUCGGAAACUGGGAAACUUGAGUGCAGAGAGGACAGUGGAACUCCAUGUGUAGCGGUGAAUGCGUAGAUAUAUGGAAGAACACCAGUGGCGAAGGCGGCUGUCUGGUCUGUACUGACGCUGAGGCUCGAAAGUAUGGGUAGCAACAGGAUUAGAUACCCUGGUAGUCCAUACCGUAACGAUGAAUGCUAAGUGUUGGAGGGUUUCCGCCCUUCAGUGCUGCAGCUAACGCAUUAAGCAUUCCGCCUGGGGAGUACGGCCGCAAGGCUGAAACUCAAAGGAAUUGACGGGGCCGCACAAGCGGUGGAGCAUGUGGUUUAAUUCGAAGCUACGCGAAGAACCUUACCAGUCUUGACAUACUAUGCAAAUCUAAGAGAUUAGACGUUCCCUUCGGGGACAUGGAUACAGGUGGUGCAUGGUUGUCGUCAGCUCGUGUCGUGAGAUGUUGGGUUAAGUCCGCAACGAGCGCAACCUUAUAUCAGUUGCCAGCAUUAAGUUGGGCACUCUGGUGAGACUGCCGGUGACAAACCGGAGGAAGGUGGGGAUGACGUCAAAUCAUCAUGCCCCUUAUGACCUGGGCUACACACGUGCUACAAUGGAUGGUACAACGAGUUGCGAACUCGCGAGAGUAAGCUAAUCUCUUAAAGCCAUUCCAGUUCGGAUUGUAGGCUGCAACUCGCCUACAUGAAGUGGAAUCGCU